AAGGGCACCACAAGAACGCGUGGAGCAUGUGGCUUAAUUUGACUCAACGCGGGAAAUCUUACCGGGUCCGGACACACUGAGGAUUGACAGGCAAUAUUAAUUAAAUUUUAUUGUUCAUUCAAUUAAUUUUUAUUUAUGAUAAAUAUGCUAGUCCUUUCAUGAUUAUGUGAUAGGUGGUGCAUGGCCGUUCUUAGUUCGUGGAGUGAUCUGUCUGCUUAAUUGCGUUUCACUAAGAGUUCAUAAUAAUAAUGUGUAUUGUAACUUUUUCAUUGACCCCCAUCUUCUGAUGGAGCUGUGUCUCUGUUAUUAUGUUUACUUGCACAACUGAGCUCUGAAAGCAACGAACGUGACCGCAGCCUCUUGUUGCCUUUCAAAACAUGCGAACUUAAAGUUUGUAUAAUAAAAAAGGCUUUUUUAUAAACUAGAGGGACCGCUGUAACUUUUUUAAACCAGAGGAAGGUUGCGGCAAUAACAGGUCUGUGAUGCCCUUAGAUGUUCCGGGCUGCACACGUGCUACAAUGAUUAUUGCAGUGAGCAUCUCAUUCUAAUACAUCGCCUGCGCGAGUCCAUUAUUCACUCUUUUGUGUUUAGUGUCAUCUUUGCGCGCGAUAAAGCCUGCUUCGAAAGUAAGUGGGUAAUCAAUUAGAAGUAAUGAUUUCCUAGUUUUUCGCACAAAUAUAUACUGCAUUCAUUUCCGGUUGUACUUUAUGUAUGAUUCUGUGUCAUAUGAUUGUUGGAUUACUUCUGUAAUUCCUUUCAGUAUGUGCAAAUGUCAAUUCAUGGUGGGGACAGACCAUUGUUAAUUGUUGGUCUCGGUCUCAACUAGGAAUGCCUUGUACGGGUCUUUGGUUCAACAAACCACCCGGAAUACGUCCCUGCCCUUUGUACACACCGCCCGUCGCUCUUACCGAUGGACUUCUCUGUGAGUUUGAGGGACUGGAAUCUUUUUAUUCAUUUAUUUGAAUAAAUACCUCUAUGGAAACUUAAACGAACAGUGUGGUCUAAAGGAAAGAGAAGUCGAACAAGGCA
Molecule: ribosomal RNA, 1029 nt
Filed under: Hoeglundina elegans
Lineage: Eukaryota; Foraminifera; Globothalamea; Robertinida; Epistominidae
Description: bacterial SSU rRNA
Rfam family: Eukaryotic small subunit ribosomal RNA
Source: RNAcentral